This 377-nucleotide ribosomal RNA is filed under the name uncultured bacterium. RNAcentral describes it as "bacterial SSU rRNA". It matches the Rfam family "Bacterial small subunit ribosomal RNA", at positions 521 to 896 of the family's 1533-position model. The record is from RNAcentral.
UAAUACGUAGGGGGCAAGCGUUGUCCGGAUUUAUUGGGCGUAAAGAGCGUGUAGGCGGCCAGAUAGGUCAGCUGUGAAAACUCGAGGCUCAACCUCGAGAUGUCGGCUGAAACCAUCUGGCUAGAGUCCGGAAGAGGAGAAUGGAAUUCCCGGUGUAGCGGUGAAAUGCGCAGAUAUCGGGAAGAACACCCGUGGCGAAGGCGGUUCUCUGGGACGGUACUGACGCUGAGACGCGAAAGCGUGGGGAGCGAACAGGAUUAGAUACCCUGGUAGUCCACGCCGUAAACGAUGGGUACUAGGUGCCUGGGGGAGCGACCCUCUGGGUGCCGGCGCUAACGCAGGAAGUACCCCGCCUGGGGAGUACGACCGCAAGGUUG